This 690-nucleotide ribosomal RNA is filed under the name uncultured Acidobacteriota bacterium. Its description in RNAcentral is "bacterial SSU rRNA". It matches the Rfam family "Bacterial small subunit ribosomal RNA", at positions 15 to 719 of the family's 1533-position model. Lineage: Bacteria; Pseudomonadati; Acidobacteriota. The record is from RNAcentral.
GAUCCUGGCUCAGAAUCAACGCUGGCGGCGUGCCUCAGACAUGCAAGUCGAACGAUUAAACUUGCCUUCGGGCAAGAUAUAGAGUGGCGCACGGGUGAGUAACACGUAAGUAAUCUACCUUUGAGUGGGGAAUAACCCGGGGAAACCCGAGCUAAUACCGCAUAAUGCAGCGGCAUCUAAUGAUGACAGUUGUUAAAGAUUUAUCGCUUGAAGAGGAGCUUGCGGCAGAUUAGCUAGUUGGUAAGGUAAUGGCUUACCAAGGCUACGAUCUGUAACCGGUCUAAGAGGACGGUCGGUCACACUGACACUGAAUAACGGGUCAGACUCCUACGGGAGGCAGCAGUCGGGAAUUUUGGGCAAUGGGCGAAAGCCUGACCCAGCAACGCCGCGUGAAGGAUGAAGUAUUUCGGUAUGUAAACUUCGAAAGAAUGGGAAGAAUAAAUGACGGUACCAUUUAUAAGGUCCGGCUAACUACGUGCCAGCAGCCGCGGUAAUACGUAGGGACCAAGCGUUGUUCGGAUUUACUGGGCGUAAAGGGCGCGUAGGCGGCCCUACAAGUCACUUGUGAAAUCUCUGGGCUUAACUCAGAACGGCCAAGUGAAACUGUAGAGCUAGAGUGUGGAAGGGGCAAUCGGAAUUCUUGGUGUAGCGGUGAAAUGCGUAGAUAUCAAGAGGAACACCUGAGGUGAA